UGUUCAGGGGUAAACCUGUGGUUCCCGAAAGUUCGAACGGGGAGAUUCAAUGUCCUCGCCGGUUAUGACCAUUUAACAGUGAUGUUUAUAUAUGAGACAUCGUAUACGGUUGCGGUUUAUUCUGUACUCUGUUAUACGGUGCUCCGCUGUUUUAUGCCUAUUGUUUAUAGCCGGAGGCGUGCACUUCUCCCCUUGUAGGACGUCGUGACCCAUUGGAUAAUUAAAAUGUUGUCUAAGGCUCGUGAUGGAGACCGUGGCAUUUGGUUUCGGCUUUAAUGACCCGGACUUACGAUGUCCCGACAUCUAUCCGAUGGUAGUAUUAUGAUGAUGGGUCGCCUAUUUGCGAGCGUUCAGAUCCAUAACAAAUGCUUACAUGGUAUAUAAGUGGAAAUCGGAUUUAAUGCCGGUUCUGCACGUGUGGUAUUGUUAGUUGUGGUAUUCUCGAACCGUUCCUUUUCAUCAGUCAACGGCGUUUAUGUUUUGGGUAAUUACAGGACCCGUCUUGAAACACGGACCAAGGAGUCUAGCAUGUGCGCGAGUCAUUGGGACUCUGUGAAACCUAAAGGCGCAAUGAAAGUGAAGUAUUUGUGAAUUUUCGUAAUUCACUUGUUUAAGGGAAGAUGGGUAACGUUAUUCAUGUUACCUCGCAUUCCCGGGGCGUCGCGUACUUAUUGCAAGUUGCGGCGCACCAAGAGCGUACACGCUGGGACCCGAAAGAUGGUGAACUAUGCCUGGUCAGGAUGAAGUCAGGGGAAACCCUGAUGGAGGUCCGUAGCGAUUCUGACGUGCAAAUCGAUCGUAUGAACUGGGUAUAGGGGCGAAAGACUAAUCGAACCAUC
RNAcentral lists this ribosomal RNA (839 nucleotides) under Synuchus sp. 2 CR-2009. Its description in RNAcentral is "eukaryotic LSU rRNA". It matches the Rfam family "Eukaryotic large subunit ribosomal RNA", at positions 406 to 944 of the family's 3401-position model. Lineage: Eukaryota; Metazoa; Arthropoda; Insecta; Coleoptera; Carabidae. The record is from RNAcentral.